Molecule: non-coding RNA, 767 nt
Organism: Prunus avium (sweet cherry)
Lineage: Eukaryota; Viridiplantae; Streptophyta; Magnoliopsida; Rosales; Rosaceae
Source: RefSeq, a predicted model, not a curated record
UAUUAUUAUUAUGUAUCUUUACAUUUGUUAUUCUUAACCUACAUAAUAAUAUAUAAACCCCUCUUAUUACUUGCAUUUUAAGUUAUAGUGUUUGUUAGCUCGCACUAUGCUCAACUUAAAUCACUCAAACUCAUCAUACAAUGUAGGGGUGGGCAUCAAAACCAGAAUACCGAAACCGUCCUGAAAUCGUGUCAGUCUCGUGUCGUCCCAUUUGGUGUUGAAGUGUAAACGGGAUGAUACCAUGUUAUCCCAUUAUUGUUUGGCACAACACCGGUUCUAGAUUUGUGAUCCUGUUUGGGGCUAUACUGUACCGAACAGUACCAGGUAUAUAAUAAACCCCAAUUUCAAAUUCCUCCUCUCCCACGAACAUUUCGACUCCAGCUUUGUUUCCUCUGUCUCCCUUCUCUUCUCCUUUCCUUACCUCUAUUCUCCUCCUCCUCCUCCUCCUCCUCCUCUCUCUCUCUCUCUCUCUCUCUCUCUCUCUCUCCAAAGUGUAUAAAAUCGGUGGAAAAGGAAAGCCACAAAGUUUGUCCGAGUUUUUGUGUAGAAAAAUCAGGGGGUUGAAGAUCGUAUUGUUGGUACCGGAGCUUUGGGAGGCGGCAUCUUCUUCAAACCUGUUUCCCUCUGCUACCGCUAUUUUAGUCCGAUCUCAGGAAGUAGUGUAUUUUGGGGAAUUUGACACUGCAAAGAGAAACAUGCAGCACAUAGCACCAAUACCAUACCAUUAGUUACUUUUACAAACUACACCAACUUGAAGCGUAAAUCAA